UACGAAGGGUGCAAACGUUGCUCGGAAUUAUUGGGCGUAAAGCGCACGUAGGCGGCUCUAUAAGUCGGAUGUGAAAUCCCUCGGCUUAACCAAGGAAGUGCAUCCGAAACUGUGGAGCUUGAGUACUUAAGAGGAUCGCGGAAUUCCCGGUGUAGAGGUGAAAUUCGUAGAUAUCGGGAGGAACACCAGUGGCGAAGGCGGCGAUCUGGGAAGAUACUGACGCUGAGGUGCGAAAGCGUGGGGAGCAAACAGG
This 253-nucleotide ribosomal RNA is filed under the name uncultured bacterium. RNAcentral's name for it is "partial 16S ribosomal RNA". It matches the Rfam family "Bacterial small subunit ribosomal RNA", at positions 524 to 776 of the family's 1533-position model. The record is from RNAcentral.